CCUUCGAGAUGCUCCCGACUCACAGUUCAGAUAAGAGAUGGAGGCCUCAUGAGAGGAGAGGACUUGCCCUGGCUGCCCGUUUAGCCAGUGCAAAGCAGGACUAGAAGCCAGCCAUGUCCCUUUAGGUGUCUGGUGGAUUUUAGCAGGCUGUGGCCAAAGCUGUUCCCUUAGCACCUGCUUCCUGCCCAGUUCAGCCAAUCAGCGAUUACUGACGGAGACAAAUGGGGCAAGUUGUCCAGUGAAACCAGCACAACCCAGAGCCCAGAUGCAGGAGCACCUUCCAGAACCCCACAGAGACCCACUCAGGCACCCCCUGGGCAUGGACAGCCCCCAACCUCUCCCCUUCUCCUCGGGGCUGUUGUGUCACUGCCAGGAGCCUCGUGACCACCACCUCCUGCUGAAAGUGUCCUGUAAAGAUCUAAUUCUGUGUGAUGGACUGUAUGAUAAUGUAUAUUUAAUGUGAACCUUUUAAUAUACACGUGUUUUGUUUAAACUGUACCUCACUGAGCCUGCAUGUUUUCUUUCUUUCAAAUGCAAACGUGUGCCGGGGGUCUAGUUUGAUUGCCUUCUUCUUGCCGAAGUUGAAGUUCUGCCAUCAUUCCCCAAAGAUGGAUCGUUACAGGAAAAAAAGGAAACUUCUUGCUUCCUAAUUAGGAGGAAGCUAGAGUCCUAAUGAGCUCGUUAAGUGAAAACAAAUUAAUUUGUUCAGCAAACAUUUGUUGAGUCCUUGGGCCUGGUGGCUACAGAGGAGAACAGAACCCAACCCCUGCCCUCAGGAAGCGUCCAGUGUGGGGGAAAACAGGCAACUACACGUGAUGCAAUAGACGUGGGCUGGGGGUGGGGGACAGAUGCGGGGCGAUUGAGUCUCUCUGCAGCAGUCAGGAAAAGUUGUGCCUUGGAGGAUGAGCCUGAAAGCCUGGUAAUCCCAGCAGAGGUAACAAGUGGGGGUCACAGUGUAGCGCAGCCUGCAUAGUAGGAGAUGGCGAGGCCUCUGGGCCUCUGAGGGCUUCAUCCUGUGGAGGCUAGGAGAGGGGCGUUCAUCGCUCGUAGCAGGAAGCCAUUCUUGGUCUUCCUGAAGACUGAGAGAUGCUGGCCCGCUGAGGGCUUCCCUGGUAACUCGGGCAGUCAAGAACCUGCCUGCAAUGCGAGAGACCUGGGUUUGAUCCAUGGGUCAGGAAGAUCACCUGGAAAAGGGAAUAGGAACCCACUCUGGUAUUCUCACUUAGAGAAUUUCAUGGAUAGAGGAGCCUGGCGGGCUAUAACCCGUGGGGUCACAGAGUCGGACACAACUGAGCGACUAGCACUCACACUUUUUGCAUCCGGGAGAGGCAGGUAGGGUACGACUGGCAUUCAGUCUCCCAUUGUUUGUUCCCGUGUCAUGAUCGUGAUGACGUCCUUACGCAGCCUGAGACGCGGAGGCCUAGAGGGUCUGCAGCCCGAGCUCCUUC
RNAcentral lists this long non-coding RNA (1448 nucleotides) under Capra hircus (goat). RNAcentral describes it as "lncRNA (ENSCHIG00010004276.1)". The record is from RNAcentral. Lineage: Eukaryota; Metazoa; Chordata; Mammalia; Artiodactyla; Bovidae.